This 512-nucleotide ribosomal RNA is filed under the name uncultured Sphingobacteriales bacterium. RNAcentral's name for it is "bacterial SSU rRNA". It matches the Rfam family "Bacterial small subunit ribosomal RNA", at positions 8 to 513 of the family's 1533-position model. Lineage: Bacteria; Pseudomonadati; Bacteroidota; Sphingobacteriia; Sphingobacteriales. The record is from RNAcentral.
AGGGUUUGAUUAUGGCUCAGGAUGAACGCUAGCGGCAGGCUUAACACAUGCAAGUCGAGGGGUAACAGGGAUUGCUUGCAAUCCGCUGACGACCGGCGCACGGGUGCGUAACGCGUAUGCAACCUACCUUUUUCAGGGGGAUAGUCAAUAGAAAUGUUGAAUAAUACCCCAUAAUAUUAUUAAUCCGCAUGGAUUGAUAAAGAAAGCUCCGGCGGAAAAAGAUGGGCAUGCGUCCUAUUAGUUAGUUGGUAAGGUAACGGCUUACCAAGACAUCGAUAGGUAGGGGUCCUGAGAGGGAGAUCCCCCACACUGGUACUGAGACACGGACCAGACUCCUACGGGAGGCAGCAGUGAGGAAUAUUGGACAAUGGAGGCAACUCUGAUCCAGCCAUGCCGCGUGCAGGAAGACGGCCCUAUGGGUUGUAAACUGCUUUUAUACAGGAAGAACUGUAUCUACGUGUAGAUACUUGACGGUACUGUACGAAUAAGGAUCGGCUAACUCCGUGCCAGCA